RNAcentral lists this ribosomal RNA (259 nucleotides) under uncultured archaeon. Its description in RNAcentral is "partial 16S ribosomal RNA". It matches the Rfam family "Archaeal small subunit ribosomal RNA", at positions 748 to 1009 of the family's 1478-position model. The record is from RNAcentral.
CAGCCCUAAACGAUGCGCGUUAGGUGUAUCGGUGACCACGAGUCACCGAGGUGCCGAAGGGAAACCGUGAAACGUGCCGCCUGGAAGUACGGUCGCAAGGCUGAAACUUAAAGGAAUUGGCGGGGAGCACCACAACGGGUGGAGCCUGCGGUUUAAUUGGACUCAACGCCGGGAAGCUCACCGGAUAAGACAGCUGAAUGAUAGUCGGGAUGAAGACUCUACUUGACUAGCUGAGAGGAGGUGCAUGGCGUAGACGUCU